This 117-nucleotide non-coding RNA is filed under the name Nomascus leucogenys (northern white-cheeked gibbon). The record is from Rfam by way of RNAcentral. Lineage: Eukaryota; Metazoa; Chordata; Mammalia; Primates; Hylobatidae.
GCUGGGCGUAAUGGCUUAUGCCUGUAAUCCCAGCACUUUGGGAGGCCGAGGUGGGUGGAUCACCUGAGGUCAGGAGUUCGAGACCAGCCUGGCCAACAUGGUGAGACCCUGUCUCUA